RNAcentral lists this unclassified non-coding RNA (5003 nucleotides) under Orussus abietinus. RNAcentral's name for it is "tropomyosin, transcript variant X13". The record is from RNAcentral. Lineage: Eukaryota; Metazoa; Arthropoda; Insecta; Hymenoptera; Orussidae.
UCAGGGAACGGGCAACUGCCGGAGAAGGUCUUGGUCUUCUCCUGGCCAAUUGACAGGAACUUUAUUCCGCGUGGCUGGUCUUCAUUUUUCUCUCUAUUUUUGCGCGAUCCGAACCGGAAACCCCUCCAGCUGUAGCUCGAGGGUAGCGACGUUCGGAUUAAAAGAGAUCCACGUUGUUGGUGAGGCCGGCAAAGGCUCGUAGAGGUACCAGAGAAGCCGACGUAGUGGGAGUCGAGUCGACUGGUGUACGUUUUCUCGAAACGUUCGCACGGAGAAGGAGGGAGAUCCUCGCAAGUAGAUUCUUGCCGGGGCCAGUUGCGAGCCGACUAGCAGCUGAAUCACAUCAGAGGCUAAGACACAUCAGGACCGACCUGCUAAAUUUUUUCCCCUCUAUAAAUCGCCCGAAGGUAAAAAAGUCCGGCCGGCACCAUGGACGCGAUCAAAAAGAAGAUGCAGGGAAUGAAGCUGGAGAAGGACAAUGCGAUGGACCGCGCAUUGCUCUGCGAGCAGCAGGCCAGAGAUGCUAACGCCAGAGCUGAGAAGGCCGAGGAGGAGGCGCGUGCCCUGCAGAAGAAAAUCCAGACCAUCGAGAACGAGCUCGACCAGACCCAGGAGGCCCUGAUGCAAGUCAACGCCAAGCUCGAGGAGAAGGACAAAGCCUUGCAGAAUGCCGAGUCCGAGGUGGCGGCUCUCAACCGACGCAUCCAACUCCUGGAGGAAGACCUCGAGAGGUCGGAGGAACGACUCGCCACUGCCACUGCCAAACUGGCAGAGGCCUCACAAGCCGCAGAUGAGAGCGAACGGAUACGGAAGGCACUCGAGAACCGAACCAACAUGGAGGACGACCGCGUCUCCCUGCUGGAACAGCAGCUCGCACAGGCUAAGCUAAUCGCCGAGGAGGCCGACAAGAAGUACGAGGAGGUCGCCAGGAAGCUGGUCAUGAUGGAGCAGGAUCUUGAGCGCGCCGAGGAAAAGACCGAACUCUCCGAGGCUAAGAUCGUCGAGCUGGAAGAGGAACUGCGAGUCGUCGGCAACAACCUGAAGUCCCUCGAGGUGUCCGAGGAGAAGGCGAUAGAAAGGGAGGAGACGUUCAAGGGCCAGGUGAAGAUCCUGGAGUGCCAAUUGAAGGAGGCUGAAGCGCGCGCCGAGUUUGCCGAGAGGUCGGUGCAAAAGUUACAGAAGGAAGUGGACAGACUCGAGGACGACCUCGUCAGCGAGAGAGAGAAAAACAAAAUGCUCCAGGAGGAGAUGGAGGCUACUCUGCAUGACAUCCAGAACAUGUAGAGCGUGCUGCGGAGCGGAUUACACACAUAACCCCACUUUCGGCUGCGCGCGCGCCCUCUCUCGCUCGCCCCGUCUCACUCUCUCUCUUUCUCUCUCUCAUUUUCUUCCCUCCACUCCAUCUAUCCGCCUCUGUCUCUCUUUCUCUCUCUCUCUCAUACUCUCGCACGGUGCAGACCUAACCCUAAUGGACGGACGCAGCCUCCGAGCCGAGGCCGCCACAUCGCCGAUUCAUCGGCCGAUUGCGCGGAAACGAGCGAACGAAAUUACGAAUCGAAGUCCUGGGGAGGAAGGAGAGACGUGAACCUUCGUCCCGACGCCAGCUCGACCCCCGGAAAUGGCCGAGGUCGGGUUGGCGAGGGCGCGAAGUACGAGGAGAAGGACGCGCGGCGUCGAAAUUCUCGGAACGCGCGUGCGUGGAGCGCCGCUGCUGCCGUUGCUGCUGCUGUUGCUGUUAACGUUCCGCCGACACGUUCUGCAUACCUCGGCGGCCCCGAUCCGGACGAGACGCCGCGGAUGUUGUACUCUUUCUCGUCGGUCUCGCCGAUCUAUGCUCGUGGAUUCAUCCUAGAGGAUGCGCGCGCACGCGGGAGGUGUCCACCUGCCGCCCGAUCUUCCGGUGUACUCCGCGAGUUUCACGCGUUCCGCGGUCCCUCGAGCCGCGCCGUGGAAGUGCAUUUAUCCCUUUCGUACGGUGCCACCGCGUACGCACGAGAAUCAAUUUUAAUCUCCGCGUUUUCGCGAUGGAUUUUCAUUUUACCCCCCGGAGUUUGCGUUCGGUGAGGAUCGAGCUUCCGAUAUAUCGAGGCGCGUGCAGACCUGCGACCUCGCCACCCAACAUGGCGGCGGUUUCUGGACGUCGUCGCAUCGCGUACAAUUUAAGAGAUUCGCGGAAACGCAUUCGGACAUCAAUGCCGCCGUCCCUCGGAAUAUUCACCUUGCCGUGUAUCGCGACGAAACGGUUAUCUCGAAUGCGACUUUUUGCGAGUUAUCGGGCAUUAAUUCAGAACACCAUCCACCGAUAUUGGGUCGCGUUAUUUGGCGCGCCGCCGCCAUCUUGCGCGGAGAGGUUGCAGGUCUUCUGGACGCACGUUUAUAGGUACAGUGCACGGUAAAGGUAUUCUCUUAUCACGAUAUCGCGGGUCGUGGAAAAUUCGUCAUUAGACGCGUGUGAUAUAGACCUUGGAUCGCAUACAUUCCUUCUCUAUUCCUUAAUUAUACAGGGGCUAGCAAAUUGGAAAGGUGGGAAGGCUCGAUCGGCACUCUUUCGUAUCGUUCUUAUCACGAGAGGAGAGGGGGGACCCCCCUCAGCAGGAGGGGCGUUAUCGCGCGGGGUUAUCGCGAUUAUCCCUCGUUAUCCACGUUAUCAAGGGGAGGGGGGUCGCUCUCGCAAAUUCCUCAUUUUCUCAUCCCAGUUGAGCUGCGCGCUUUUCAGACACGCGAUAAUCACGAACACACACCGACUGUGCCUGUAUAUACAUAUAUUAGGUACCCCAUACGGAUAAUUAUCAUGGCUAAUCGUACCUCGAUUCGAGGAGAACGUGCUCAGAUCGGUUAACUUCGCGGAAUAUCUCAUGCGAUCUAGAAUACAUACAUUGCAUACAUACGCGUGUACACAUAUGCCUAAUUAGGAGUAUACGGUUUAUAUAUAUAUAUAUACAUUCCCUGCGCACAUCGCUGGCUGCACAAAAUUCAUAAUCCCCCUCCCUCUCCGAAACGUUGCAUUUCCUUAACGAGAGCAACCACUGCCCCGAAAUUCCAAUCUCUUCUUUCUUUUUUUUUUCCCUUUUUUUACCUUUUCUUUUAUUAAUCCCCCCCUCUCUCUUUUUCUCGCGUCGCGUAAACUGGCCUUUCACGAUUAAUUUCCUUCUUUUCUUUGUUUUUCCAUUUUGGUUUUUUUUUCCUGGUCUUUUCGGUUUUUUUCGCAAUAAAUGUCCUGGCCGGGGUUUGACGCGCCGCAGAGUUCGCGAAUCCGCGACGCGUCAAUCUUCGGGCGGAAUGUUGAAAAGUGUACUUUCUUUUUUUUUUCUUCCCCCUUUUUUCCUGGGCAUGAAGGAAAGGAGGGAUCACAGGUGCAUGAGAGUGCGUCGAUCGUUAGGCGUGGCGGCUCCCUUGUGGCGAUUUUUCCAGGGGGGAGUGGAAAGGUAGAUAAUUUUCGAGGAGGGAUUUUUUUUUUCCGCCGUGAUGAGGCGAAAAUUCGCGCGUCGCGUCGAGCGAUGAUCCGCGCUUAGGAAGAAAGUCGCGCUCGGUGUUUAAUGGAAUUAAGCCCAAGGAAAGAGAAAAAAAAAGAAAAAAAAAAGAAUAUCCCGACAUGGGCUCAUCGGCACAAUGCAAUCCCACGUCCUAUUAAUUUUAAUUAAUAUUACUAUUAUCGCUCCAAUUAUCCGUUGUAUCGUUUCGAUUAUCUCCUAUCCUCAGUUCUCUACACGUUACGCCCUAAUUUUUACGCCGGAAAGAGAUAUGAAAGAAAGGAUAAAAAAAGAAAACCCACGAUAAGCAAAAGACGUUCGAGACGGAAAUUUUGAUUUAUCACCUUAGCCCAUUAAUUUACUUAAUAUUAAUCGAGAGAGAAACGAUAAUAACACUAAUAUUAUUGUAUUAAUUAUACACCAACAUUGCUAUUAUUAUAAAUUUGUUUAUAAUAUAUAUUUUAAUUUUCAAUGCGAUUAUGCGUGCGUCGUCCAUUUUUUUUUUCCGUUCGUCUCGUUUUCGACCGAGUCGAGAGAGUCACUUUUUGUGCGCCCGGAGAGUUGUUUCCUGUUAAUCGUUUUUACCACGAGAGCCCAUUAACAACACGCUCUGCCCGAUUGUUGUCGACGAGAGUCGUGGUUAACUGCAUGAAGCUCCGCCGAAAUGUGUGAAAUUACCCAGCCGCCAGUAAGUACAACAUUGCUCGAUUAUUGUCUACUAACUAUCAAAAACCCCAGACUAUCGGGGUUUUCGGGUCCCCUUUCCCCUGGAGAUUUUUAUGUUAAUUUUCUAAAUUUCUCCCCCAUGCCUCUACGGUGUCGAUUGUCCUCAUUUCAUUUCUCCUGUAUUUUUAGUCUUCGUACCAGUAAUUUAGACGUACCACUUUUGCAGAAAUUAAUUUUCCUUUUAAAUUAUGUAAAAAUCCCAUUUAUUUUCCUUCCGUUUGUUUAUUUUGACUGUUCGCAUUAGUUUUGUAAUUUUCUUCUUCAAUUUCUUUGGUACGCAUUCUUUCUUUUUUUUUCUUUUUUUUUUUUCUGCGAAUAAAAUUGCGAGCGCGUAAUUAUCAAUAAGUCUUUUGUACUCUUGGGGAAUCCCCGCUUCGAUGUAAUGCGGUAAUCUCGAAAAAUCCUUGCAGAUGAGAUGGUGGCCGAGAAGGAGAAGUACAAGGAAAUCGGCGAUGGCUUGGAUAAUGCAUUCUUUGAGCUCUAUGGGGUCUAGAGUGCCUAGCUCCUGAUAACGCUUCGACGUGCCUUUAUUGCGUUUAGCUUGCUCUCUCUAACCAACUUCCACGAGCUGGUCCACGAGAAGGAGAAGUACAAGUACAUCUGCGACGACCUGGACCUCACCUUCACCGAGCUGGUCGGCUAAAGAAUGUCUUUCCAUCGUCGCCGGAUAUGAUAAUCACGGGAUUCGCCUCGCCGAGCGAUAACGCGGACCGCACAAUCACGUUCGGGCCCAACCUACGGAUUAAAUAUACCUGUAUCAUUGUAAUUAAAGCGAGAUUAUUAUAAAUAAGCAUGUGGAACACUGGA